CCUACGGGGGGCUGCAGUGGGGAAUAUUGGACAAUGGGCGAAAGCCUGAUCCAGCCAUGCCGCGUGUGUGAAGAAGGCCUUCGGGUUGUAAAGCACUUUCAGUGGGGAAGAAAGCCUUGGGGCUAAUACCCUCGAGGAAGGACAUCACCCACAGAAGAAGCACCGGCUAACUCUGUGCCAGCAGCCGCGGUAAUACGGAGGGUGCGAGCGUUAAUCGGAAUUACUGGGCGUAAAGCGCGCGUAGGCGGUCUGAUAAGCCGGUUGUGAAAGCCCCGGGCUCAACCUGGGAACGGCAUCCGGAACUGUCAGGCUAGAGUGCAGGAGAGGAAGGUAGAAUUCCCGGUGUAGCGGGGAAAUGCGUAGAGAUCGGGAGGAAUACCAGUGGCGAAGGCGGCCUUCUGGACUGACACUGGCGCUGAGGUGCGAAAGCGUGGGUAGCAAACAGGAUUAGAUACCCCAGUAGUC
Molecule: ribosomal RNA, 465 nt
Filed under: Vreelandella stevensii
Lineage: Bacteria; Pseudomonadati; Pseudomonadota; Gammaproteobacteria; Oceanospirillales; Halomonadaceae
Description: partial 16S ribosomal RNA
Rfam family: Bacterial small subunit ribosomal RNA
Source: RNAcentral